UCAAAGUUCGUACAUCAGCAUAGAGCUGUCGUGUGAUUGGGCCAAACUGACAAGCAAACUGAUUGGCUAAGGAAACUGACAGAGAUCAAACCUUUCCUGUUCUUGCAAUCCAAGGCUGCAUCUGAAAGAUUAAGCUCCUGCCCUAACAGAAAUCUACUUCACAGGCAGUGCUUGUUUAUGAAGUUACUUUAUGAAACUGAUUUCAGACAGACUUCUGAGACGGUUUAAUAGUUUAAUGACCUUGAACAAAAUAGAGGGAGCUUUGGUGAUAACUAAGCGAAUAUUUUAUUACUGCAGUCAGUACUAAUUUAUCGCUAGAAAUUACAUCUGAAGUGGAAGAAGUUAGUCAAAAACAACACACAAACUAACCAUCAACCUCAAAAUUCAGAGGCUUUUUUCCCCACAAAUUCAAACUAGAUAGACAGAUGAUGGAUGGAUGAAUGAAUGGAUAAUUAGAUAGGUAUUUGUGUGUGGAUGAAUGGGUAAUUACAUAGGUAUAUGUGAAUGGAUGGAUAGAUGGAUAGGUAGAUAGGUAGAUGAUUGAUGGAUGGAUGAAUGGGUAGAUAGACAGGUAUAUAGUGGAUGGAUGGUAGAUAGACAGGUAGAUGAUGGAUGGAUGGAUGAAUGGGUAGAUAGACAGGUAUAUAGUGGAUGGAUGGUAGAUAGACAGGUAGAUGAUGGAUGGAUGGAUGAAUGGGUAGAUAGACAGGUAUAUAGUGGAUGGAUGGUAGAUAGACAGGUAGAUGAUUGAUGGAUGGAUGGAUG
Carassius gibelio (silver crucian carp) is the source of this 765-nucleotide long non-coding RNA. RefSeq lists it as uncharacterized. The transcript is spliced from 3 exons. The record is from RefSeq and is a predicted model, not a curated record. NCBI's taxonomy places the organism in Eukaryota, Metazoa, Chordata, Actinopteri, Cypriniformes, Cyprinidae.